UACGUAGGGGGCAAGCGUUGUCCGGAUUUAUUGGGCGUAAAGAGCGUGUAGGCGGCUUUACAGGUCCGUUGUGAAAACUCGAGGCUCAACCUCGAGACGCCGGUGGAAACCGUAAAGCUAGAGUCCGGAAGAGGAGUGUGGAAUUCCUGGUGUAGCGGUGAAAUGCGCAGAUAUCAGGAGGAACACCAAUGGCGAAGGCAGCACUCUGGGACGUGACUGACGCUGAGACGCGAAAGCGUGGGGAGCAAACAGG
This 253-nucleotide ribosomal RNA is filed under the name uncultured bacterium. RNAcentral's name for it is "partial 16S ribosomal RNA". It matches the Rfam family "Bacterial small subunit ribosomal RNA", at positions 524 to 776 of the family's 1533-position model. The record is from RNAcentral.